RNAcentral lists this ribosomal RNA (432 nucleotides) under uncultured bacterium. RNAcentral's name for it is "partial 16S ribosomal RNA". It matches the Rfam family "Bacterial small subunit ribosomal RNA", at positions 28 to 507 of the family's 1533-position model. The record is from RNAcentral.
GAUGAACGCUGGCGGUAUGCUUAACACAUGCAAGUCGAACGGUACCUCCGGGUAUAGUGGCGGACGGGUGAGUAACGCGUGAGAAUCUAUCUUCAGGUCGGGGACAACAGUUAGAAAUGACUGCUAAUACCGGAUGUGCCGAAAGGUAAAAGAUUUAUUGCCUGAAAAAGAGCUCGCGUCAGAUUAGCUAGUAGGUGGUGUAAGAGACUACCUAGGCUUCGAUCUGUAGCUGGUCUGAGAGGACGAUCAGCCACACUGGAACUGAGACACGGUCCAGACUCCUACGGGAGGCAGCAGUGGGGAAUUUUCCGCAAUGGGCGAAAGCCUGACGGAGCAAUACCGCGUGAGGGACGAAGGCUCUUGGGUCGUAAACCUCUUUUCUCAAGGAAGAUUCAGACGGUACUUGAGGAAUAAGCAUCGGCUAACUCUGUG